Molecule: transfer RNA, 68 nt
Filed under: Trichonephila inaurata madagascariensis
Lineage: Eukaryota; Metazoa; Arthropoda; Arachnida; Araneae; Nephilidae
Description: tRNA-Thr
Source: RNAcentral
GCCAGUAUAGUGGAAAUGAUCCUCAGCUUGUAACCGAGUGGGUUCGGGUUCGAAUCCCGAGUAAGGCA